AGAGCGAACGCUGGCGGCAGGCCUAACACAUGCAAGUCGAGCGCCCGUAGCAAUACGGGAGCGGCAGACGGGAUAGUAACACGUGGGAACGCGCCCUUCGGUUCGGAAUAACUCAGGGAAACUUGAGCUAAUACCGGAUACGCCCUUACGGGGAAAGAUUUAUUGCCGAAGGAACGGCCCGCGUCCGAUUAGCUAGUUGGUGAGGUAAUGGCUCACCAAGGCGACGAUCGGUAGCUGGUCUGAGAGGAUGACCAGCAUCACUGGGACUGAGACACGGCCCAGACUCCUACGGGAGGCAGCAGUGGGGAAUAUUGGACAAUGGGCGCAAGCCUGAUCCAGCCAUGCCGCGUGGAUGAUGAAGGCCUUAGGGUGUAAAGUCCUUUAACGGGAAGAUAAUGACGGUACCCGUAGAAUAAGCCCCGGCUAACUUCGCGCCAGCAGCCGC
RNAcentral lists this ribosomal RNA (445 nucleotides) under uncultured bacterium. RNAcentral describes it as "SSU rRNA". It matches the Rfam family "Bacterial small subunit ribosomal RNA", at positions 26 to 518 of the family's 1533-position model. The record is from RNAcentral.